CUAAGGGAGAUGACAGAAGAGAGUGAGCACACAUGGUAUUUUCUUGCACGAUGACGAUUCAUGCUUGAAGCUAUGUGUGCUUACUCUCUAUCUGUCAUCCCAUCAC
This 106-nucleotide microRNA precursor is filed under the name Glycine max (soybean). RNAcentral describes it as "miR156w stem-loop (gma-MIR156w)". Its record names the gene gma-MIR156w. The stretch from base 10 to 98 matches the Rfam family "mir-156 microRNA precursor family". Rfam says of the family: This family represents the plant microRNA (miRNA) precursor mir-156. Animal miRNAs are transcribed as ~70nt precursors and subsequently processed by the Dicer enzyme to give a ~22nt product. The record is from miRBase by way of RNAcentral. Lineage: Eukaryota; Viridiplantae; Streptophyta; Magnoliopsida; Fabales; Fabaceae.